GUCGGCGUGCCUAAUACAUGCAAGUCGAACGAGUUCUUGUUGAUGAUCGGUGCUUGCACCAAGAUUCAACAUGGAACGAGUGGCGGACGGGUGAGUAACACGUGGGUAACCUGCCCUUAAGUGGGGGAUAACAUUUGGAAACAGAUGCUAAUACCGCAUAGAUCCAAGAACCGCAUGGUUCUUGGCUGAAAGAUGGCGUAAGCUAUCGCUUUUGGAUGGACCCGCGGCGUAUUAGCUAGUUGGUGAGGUAAUGGCUCACCAAGGCGAUGAUACGUAGCCGAACUGAGAGGUUGAUCGGCCACAUUGGGACUGAGACACGGCCCAAACUCCUACGGGAGGCAGCAGUAGGGAAUCUUCCACAAUGAACGCAAGUCUGAUGGAGCAACGCCGCGUGAGUGAAGAAGGCUUUCGGGUCGUAAAACUCUGUUGUUGGAGAAGAAUGGUCGGCAGAGUAACUGUUGUCGGCGUGACGGUAUCCAACCAGAAAGCCACGGCUAACUACGUGCCAGCAGCCGCGGUAAUACGUAGGUGGCAAGCGUUAUCCGGAUUUAUUGGGCGUAAAGCGAGCGCAGGCGGUUUUUUAAGUCUGAUGUGAAAGCCCUCGGCUUAACCGAGGAAGCGCAUCGGAAACUGGGAAACUUGAGUGCAGAAGAGGACAGUGGAACUCCAUGUGUAGCGGUGAAAUGCGUAGAUAUAUGGAAGAACACCAGUGGCGAAGGCGGCUGUCUGGUCUGUAACUGACGCUGAGGCUCGAAAGCAUGGGUAGCGAACAGGAUUAGAUACCCUGGUAGUCCAUGCCGUAAACGAUGAAUGCUAGGUGUUGGAGGGUUUCCGCCCUUCAGUGCCGCAGCUAACGCAUUAAGCAUUCCGCCUGGGGAGUACGACCGCAAGGUUGAAACUCAAAGGAAUUGACGGGGGCCCGCACAAGCGGUGGAGCAUGUGGUUUAAUUCGAAGCAACGCGAAGAACCUUACCAGGUCUUGACAUCUUUUGAUCACCUGAGAGAUCAGGUUUCCCCUUCGGGGGCAAAAUGACAGGUGGUGCAUGGUUGUCGUCAGCUCGUGUCGUGAGAUGUUGGGUUAAGUCCCGCAACGAGCGCAACCCUUAUGACUAGUUGCCAGCAUUUAGUUGGGCACUCUAGUAAGACUGCCGGUGACAAACCGGAGGAAGGUGGGGAUGACGUCAAAUCAUCAUGCCCCUUAUGACCUGGGCUACACACGUGCUACAAUGGAUGGUACAACGAGUUGCGAGACCGCGAGGUCAAGCUAAUCUCUUAAAGCCAUUCUCAGUUCGGACUGUAGGCUGCAACUCGCCUACACGAAGUCGGAAUCGCUAGUAAUCGCGGAUCAGCACGCCGCGGUGAAUACGUUCCCGGGCCUUGUACACACCGCCCGUCACACCAUGAGAGUUUGUAACACCCGAAGCCGGUGGCGUAACCCUUUUAGGGAGCGAGCCGUCUAAGGUGGGACAAAUGAUUAG
RNAcentral lists this ribosomal RNA (1478 nucleotides) under uncultured organism. RNAcentral's name for it is "SSU rRNA". It matches the Rfam family "Bacterial small subunit ribosomal RNA". The record is from RNAcentral.